UUUAACCUCAAAUCAGGUAGGAUUACCCGCUGAACUUAAGCAUAUCAAUAAGCGGAGGAAAAGAAACUAACAAGGAUUCCCCUAGUAACUGCGAGUGAAGCGGGAAGAGCUCAAAUUUAAAAUCUGGCGGUCCUCUGAGCUGUCCG
Molecule: ribosomal RNA, 146 nt
Filed under: uncultured Hygrocybe
Lineage: Eukaryota; Fungi; Basidiomycota; Agaricomycetes; Agaricales; Hygrophoraceae
Description: partial 28S ribosomal RNA
Rfam family: Eukaryotic large subunit ribosomal RNA
Source: RNAcentral